This 832-nucleotide ribosomal RNA is filed under the name uncultured Bacillota bacterium. RNAcentral's name for it is "bacterial SSU rRNA". It matches the Rfam family "Bacterial small subunit ribosomal RNA", at positions 58 to 924 of the family's 1533-position model. Lineage: Bacteria; Bacillati; Bacillota. The record is from RNAcentral.
CAAGUCGAACGAGAAAGUGGAGCAAUCCAUGAGUAAAGUGGCGUACGGGUGAGUAACACGUGGAUCAUCUACCUUCUAGUGGGGAAUACCGUUGGGAAACCGACGACAAUACCGCAUAAGCUCGAGAGAGGAAAGCAGCAAUGCGCUGGAAGAGGAGUCCGCGGUCGAUUAGCUAGUUGGUGAGGUAAUGGCUCACCAAGGCUGUGAUCGAUAGCCGGCCUGAGAGGGCACACGGCCACACUGGCACUGAAACACGGGCCAGACUCCUACGGGAGGCAGCAGUGGGGAAUCUUGCACAAUGGGGGAAACCCUGAUGCAGCGACGCCGCGUGAGCGAUGAAGCCCUUCGGGGUGUAAAGCUCUUUCGGCAGGGAAGAUUAUGACGGUACCUGCAGAAGCAGCUGCGGCUAACUACGUGCCAGCAGCCGCGGUAAUACGUAGGCAGCAAGCGUUGUUCGGAGUUACUGGGCGUAAAGGGUGCGUAGGCGGCUCUAUAAGUAUGGUGUGAAAUCUCCCGGCUUAACUGGGAGGGUGCGCUAUAGACUGUGGGGCUAGAGUGUGGGAGAGGAAAGUGGAAUUCCUGGUGUAGCGGUGAAAUGCGUAGAUAUCAGGAGGAACACCGGUGGUGUAAACGGCUUUCUGGACCAUAACUGACGCUGAGGCACGAAAGCGCGGGUAGCAAACAGGAUUAGAUACCCUGGUAGUCCACGCCCUAAACGAUGCAUAUUUGGUGUGGGUCAUUCAGUUGAUCCGUGCCGGANCUAACGCGUUAAAUAUGCCGCCUGGGGAGUACAGUCGCAAGGCUGAACUCAAAGGAAUUGACGGGGGCCCCC